CNUGCAGCCGAGCGGUAGAGAUUCUUCGGAAUCUUGAGAGCGGCGUACGGGUGCGGAACACGUGUGCAACCUGCCUUUAUCAGGGGGAUAGCCUUUCGAAAGGAAGAUUAAUACCCCAUAAUAUAUUGAAUGGCAUCAUUUNAUAUUGAAAACUCCGGUGGAUAGAGAUGGGCACGCGCAAGAUUAGAUAGUUGGUGAGGUAACGGCUCACCAAGUCUACGAUCUUUAGGGGGCCUGAGAGGGUGAUCCCCCACACUGGUACUGAGACACGGACCAGACUCCUACGGGAGGCAGCAGUGAGGAAUAUUGGACAAUGGGUGCGAGCCUGAUCCAGCCAUCCCGCGUGAAGGACGACGGCCCUAUGGGUUGUAAACUUCUUUUGUAUAGGGAUAAACCUNAGAUACGUGUAUCUAGCUGAAGGUACUAUACGAAUAAGCACCGGCUAACUCCGUGCCAGCAGCCGCGGUAAUACGGAGGGUGCAAGCGUUAUCCGGAUUUAUUGGGUUUAAAGGGUCCGUAGGCGGAUUUGUAAGUCAGUGGUGAAAUCUCACAGCUUAACUGUGAAACUGCCAUUGAUACUGCAAGUCUUGAGUGUUGUUGAAGUAGCUGGAAUAAGUAGUGUAGCGGUGAAAUGCAUAGAUAUUACUUAGAACACCAAUUGCGAAGGCAGGUUACUAAGCAACAACUGACGCUGAUGGACGAAAGCGUGGGGAGCGAACAGGAUUAGAUACCCUGGUAGUCCACGCCGUAAACGAUGCUAACUCGUUUUUGGAGCGCAAGCUUCAGAGACUAAGCGAAAGUGAUAAGUUAGCCACCUGGGGAGUACGAACGCAAGUUUGAAACUCAAAGGAAUUGACGGGGGCCCGCACAAGCGGUGGAUUAUGUGGUUUAAUUCGAUGAUACGCGAGGAACCUUACCAAGGCUUAAAUGGGAAAUGACAGGUUUAGAAAUAGACUUUUCUUCGGACAUUUUUCAAGGUGCUGCAUGGUUGUCGUCAGCUCGUGCCGUGAGGUGUUAGGUUAAGUCCUGCAACGAGCGCAACCCCUGUCACUAGUUGCCAUCAUUAAGUUGGGGACUCUAGUGAGACUGCCUACGCAAGUAGAGAGGAAGGUGGGGAUGACGUCAAAUCAUCACGGCCCUUACGCCUUGGGCCACACACGUAAUACAAUGGCCGGUACAGAGGGCAGCUACACUGCGAAGUGAUGCAAAUCUCGAAAGCCGGUCUCAGUUCGGAUUGGAGUCUGCAACUCGACUCUAUGAAGCUGGAAUCGCUAGUAAUCGCGCAUCAGCCAUGGCGCGGUGAAUACGUUCCCGGGCCUUGUACACACCGCCCGUCAAGCCAUGGAAGUCUGGGGUACCUGAAGUCGGUGACCGUAACAGGAGCUGCCUAGG
RNAcentral lists this ribosomal RNA (1392 nucleotides) under Chryseobacterium sp. RNAcentral describes it as "bacterial SSU rRNA". It matches the Rfam family "Bacterial small subunit ribosomal RNA". The record is from RNAcentral. Lineage: Bacteria; Pseudomonadati; Bacteroidota; Flavobacteriia; Flavobacteriales; Weeksellaceae.